RNAcentral lists this small nucleolar RNA (122 nucleotides) under Drosophila willistoni. RNAcentral's name for it is "snoRNA:GK26493". The record is from RNAcentral. Lineage: Eukaryota; Metazoa; Arthropoda; Insecta; Diptera; Drosophilidae.
AAUUUGUAGAUAAUUUGUACAUAGAUUGUAUUAUUUUUUUCUAACGAUUAAUGGAUAAUGGCGUAUGUGUCCUAAAUAUAGUAUAACACAAUCGCAUUCAUUCCAUAAACAAUCGAAAAUUU